Molecule: ribosomal RNA, 253 nt
Filed under: uncultured bacterium
Lineage: Bacteria
Description: partial 16S ribosomal RNA
Rfam family: Bacterial small subunit ribosomal RNA
Source: RNAcentral
UACGUAGGGUGCGAGCGUUGUCCGGAAUUAUUGGGCGUAAAGGGCUCGUAGGCGGUUUGUCGCGUCGGGAGUGAAAACCCAGGGCUUAACUCUGGGCUUGCUUUCGAUACGGGCAGACUAGAGGUAUGCAGGGGAGAACGGAAUUCCUGGUGUAGCGGUGAAAUGCGCAGAUAUCAGGAGGAACACCGGUGGCGAAGGCGGUUCUCUGGGCAUUACCCGACGCUGAGGAGCGAAAGUGUGGGGAGCGAACAGG